This 777-nucleotide ribosomal RNA is filed under the name uncultured Neocallimastigales. RNAcentral describes it as "partial large subunit ribosomal RNA". It matches the Rfam family "Eukaryotic large subunit ribosomal RNA", at positions 24 to 643 of the family's 3401-position model. The record is from RNAcentral. Lineage: Eukaryota; Fungi; Neocallimastigomycota; Neocallimastigomycetes; Neocallimastigales.
UAUGUGAUCGUCUCUCGCAUAUCAAUAAGCGGAGGAAAAGAAACUAACAAGGAUUCCCCUAGUAACGGCGAGUGAAGCGGGGAAGAGCUCAAAUUUGAAAUCUUAAAGGGUUUCCCUUUACGAAUUGUAGUUUAAAGAAGUGUUUUCUGUUGAGGUUUUGGUAAAAGUUCUUUGGAAUAGGACAUCAUAGAGGGUGAGAAUCCCGUAUUUGACCUUUACUUUCAACUUUGUGAUACACUUUCAAAGAGUCGGAUUGUUUGGGGAAUGCAGUCCAAAAUGGGUGGUAAAUUUCAUCUAAAGCUAAAUAUUGGCGAGGAGACCGAUAGCGAACAAGUACCGUGAGGGAAAGAUGAAAAGAACUUUGAAAAGAGAGUUAAACAGUACGUGAAAUUGUCAAAAGGGAAGCGUUUGACACCAGUGUUGUUUUUCUGAAAAUCAAUUAAAGAACUGUUUAUGCUAAGUUGUUUAGACUUUAUCAGCUAACUGUUUAGUUUUGAGCUUUUCUUUAAUGCACUUUUCAGUUAACAAGUCAACAUCAAUUUCUUUUGCUGUAAAAAAGCUUGAGGAAGGUGGCUUGAGAUUCGUCUUAAGUGUUUAUAGCCUCUUGCCUAUGCAGUCGGAGAGAUUGAGGUCUGCAGCGUAGAUCCUUCGGGGCUAAAUGCAUUUGUGCUAAGUUAUAGCAUUUUAUAGACAACUUGUUGACUAUGAUUUGUCUUGUAGCUUACUCGCUUAUGUUAUUUUACCUACGCUUAGGAUGUUGAUAUCGCGCUCUCACUG